UUCUUAGUGGCGGACGGGUUAGUAACACGUGAGAAUCCUACCCUUGAGUGGGGAAUAGCCUUUCGAAAGGAAGAUUAAUGCCCCAUAGUCUCUACGGAGUAAAGAUGCCUUCGGGUGUCGCUUAAGGAUGGGCUCGCGGCCUAUCAGCUAGUUGGUGAGGUAAGAGCUCACCAAGGCAACGACGGGUAGCUGGUCUGAGAGGACGAUCAGCAACACUGGAACUGAGACACGGUCCAGACACCUACGGGUGGCAGCAGUCGAGAAUCAUUCACAAUGGACGAAAGUCUGAUGGUGCAACGCCGCGUGGAGGAUGACGGCCCUAGGGUUGUAAACUCCUGUCAUCAGGGAGUAAGACUUAUUCGUUAAUAGCGUGUAAGUUUGAUAGUACCUGAAGAGGAAGGGACGGCUAACUUCGUGCCAGCAGCCGCGGUAAUACGAAGGUCCCAAGCGUUGUUCGGAAUAACUGGGCGUAAAGCGUGUGUAGGCCGCGCGGAAAGUCGGAUGUGAAAGCCCAAGGCUCAACCUUGGAACUGCAUCCGAUACUCCCGUGCU
Molecule: ribosomal RNA, 552 nt
Filed under: uncultured Roseibacillus sp.
Lineage: Bacteria; Pseudomonadati; Verrucomicrobiota; Verrucomicrobiia; Verrucomicrobiales; Verrucomicrobiaceae
Description: bacterial SSU rRNA
Rfam family: Bacterial small subunit ribosomal RNA
Source: RNAcentral